Hyla sarda is the source of this 1057-nucleotide long non-coding RNA. RefSeq lists it as uncharacterized. The transcript is spliced from 3 exons. NCBI's taxonomy places the organism in Eukaryota, Metazoa, Chordata, Amphibia, Anura, Hylidae. The record is from RefSeq and is a predicted model, not a curated record.
GAGGAUGAGAAUGCGCUGACAGUGAGGAGACAUCUUGGCGUCACAUUCUGCAGAGAGAAGUUUUAGCUGGAACAAGUCCUCGCGUGUGUUAUGACUGACAGUGAUCCAGAGCCACCACUGAAACAUUAAGAAUGCAGCCUCCCUCUACUACUUUAACGGAGCAGUGGCUACUGGAAACAGAUGUGCCGCUUACAGACACAUCUGCUAGAAGAUGCUGCAGAACUGCAUCAGUAGUGGUGGUAACUAACUAUACCUGAAUGCGGAGGACGUCAGAUUCGAUGGACUGCGACGAUGACCAGCGUUUUUUUUCAUUUAAAUAAAAUUGUUAAGGAGGGCUGUGGGGGGAGUGUUGUUUUUAAACACAUUUUUUUCAAUGUGUCAUGUUUUUUAUAACUGAAUUUUCAGGGUUAGUAGUGGAAGCUGUCAUAUAGACGGAAUCCAUUACUAAGAGUAUAGCAUACUUAAAUUGAACAGACCAGGGAGAGUCCACUUCUUCUGUGCGCUUCAGGUGGGUGCAGGGGAUCCAAUCUCCGAGUAGCAAUCAGGGGAUCUGCGGCGGUCGGGGAGGGAGAAUCCCCACUGGAGGAGAGCCUCAAAGCAGGCUUCAAUAGAGAUGCUAGCGUACAUUUUAUUCUGACGCAAAAUCAGGAUUUUUGUCAGGAAGCCCAAGCGGUACGGAAUCUCCAGGCAUCCGUUCCUGUGUGAGGGAAUGAAGAUUUCUCCUGGCUUAAAGUGUUGCUGCUGAUAAAACAACAAAAAGCUGGAUAUCAUCCUACGGUGCAGGUAAGGAUUUACGUUUCCUCGAAUACUGUAGUAGUAGGUCCUUGGUUUUCAUAGAAGGUGUAGCGAGCAAGAACAUCCCUCGGGAGGUCAUCAGGUAGAGAUUUAGGUGCUCUGUCAAUGGUAUGUUCAAACACCGCCAGAUCAGAUAAAAAGUGACGGGUCAGCUCUUUCACGUACUUGGCAAGCUGAGAAUUAGGUACCGUCUCCGGAAUGCCGCGGAAUUUAAUAUUGUUACGUCUAUUGCGGUCUUCAGAGUCCACCAUCUUCUCCUGUA